Molecule: ribosomal RNA, 2786 nt
Filed under: Escherichia coli
Lineage: Bacteria; Pseudomonadati; Pseudomonadota; Gammaproteobacteria; Enterobacterales; Enterobacteriaceae
Description: bacterial LSU rRNA
Rfam family: Bacterial large subunit ribosomal RNA
Source: RNAcentral
AGCGUACACGGUGGAUGCCCUGGCAGUCAGAGGCGAUGAAGGACGUGCUAAUCUGCGAUAAGCGUCGGUAAGGUGAUAUGAACCGUUAUAACCGGCGAUUUCCGAAUGGGGAAACCCAGUGUGUUUCGACACACUAUCAUUAACUGAAUCCAUAGGUUAAUGAGGCGAACCGGGGGAACUGAAACAUCUAAGUACCCCGAGGAAAAGAAAUCAACCGAGAUUCCCCCAGUAGCGGCGAGCGAACGGGGAGCAGCCCAGAGCCUGAAUCAGUGUGUGUGUUAGUGGAAGCGUCUGGAAAGGCGCGCGAUACAGGGUGACAGCCCCGUACACAAAAAUGCACAUGCUGUGAGCUCGAUGAGUAGGGCGGGACACGUGGUAUCCUGUCUGAAUAUGGGGGGACCAUCCUCCAAGGCUAAAUACUCCUGACUGACCGAUAGUGAACCAGUACCGUGAGGGAAAGGCGAAAAGAACCCCGGCGAGGGGAGUGAAAAAGAACCUGAAACCGUGUACGUACAAGCAGUGGGAGCCUCUUUAUGGGGUGACUGCGUACCUUUUGUAUAAUGGGUCAGCGACUUAUAUUCUGUAGCAAGGUUAACCGAAUAGGGGAGCCGAAGGGAAACCGAGUCUUAACUGGGCGUUAAGUUGCAGGGUAUAGACCCGAAACCCGGUGAUCUAGCCAUGGGCAGGUUGAAGGUUGGGUAACACUAACUGGAGGACCGAACCGACUAAUGUUGAAAAAUUAGCGGAUGACUUGUGGCUGGGGGUGAAAGGCCAAUCAAACCGGGAGAUAGCUGGUUCUCCCCGAAAGCUAUUUAGGUAGCGCCUCGUGAAUUCAUCUCCGGGGGUAGAGCACUGUUUCGGCAAGGGGGUCAUCCCGACUUACCAACCCGAUGCAAACUGCGAAUACCGGAGAAUGUUAUCACGGGAGACACACGGCGGGUGCUAACGUCCGUCGUGAAGAGGGAAACAACCCAGACCGCCAGCUAAGGUCCCAAAGUCAUGGUUAAGUGGGAAACGAUGUGGGAAGGCCCAGACAGCCAGGAUGUUGGCUUAGAAGCAGCCAUCAUUUAAAGAAAGCGUAAUAGCUCACUGGUCGAGUCGGCCUGCGCGGAAGAUGUAACGGGGCUAAACCAUGCACCGAAGCUGCGGCAGCGACGCUUAUGCGUUGUUGGGUAGGGGAGCGUUCUGUAAGCCUGUGAAGGUGUGCUGUGAGGCAUGCUGGAGGUAUCAGAAGUGCGAAUGCUGACAUAAGUAACGAUAAAGCGGGUGAAAAGCCCGCUCGCCGGAAGACCAAGGGUUCCUGUCCAACGUUAAUCGGGGCAGGGUGAGUCGACCCCUAAGGCGAGGCCGAAAGGCGUAGUCGAUGGGAAACAGGUUAAUAUUCCUGUACUUGGUGUUACUGCGAAGGGGGGACGGAGAAGGCUAUGUUGGCCGGGCGACGGUUGUCCCGGUUUAAGCGUGUAGGCUGGUUUUCCAGGCAAAUCCGGAAAAUCAAGGCUGAGGCGUGAUGACGAGGCACUACGGUGCUGAAGCAACAAAUGCCCUGCUUCCAGGAAAAGCCUCUAAGCAUCAGGUAACAUCAAAUCGUACCCCAAACCGACACAGGUGGUCAGGUAGAGAAUACCAAGGCGCUUGAGAGAACUCGGGUGAAGGAACUAGGCAAAAUGGUGCCGUAACUUCGGGAGAAGGCACGCUGAUAUGUAGGUGAAGCGACUUGCUCGUGGAGCUGAAAUCAGUCGAAGAUACCAGCUGGCUGCAACUGUUUAUUAAAAACACAGCACUGUGCAAACACGAAAGUGGACGUAUACGGUGUGACGCCUGCCCGGUGCCGGAAGGUUAAUUGAUGGGGUCAGCGCAAGCGAAGCUCUUGAUCGAAGCCCCGGUAAACGGCGGCCGUAACUAUAACGGUCCUAAGGUAGCGAAAUUCCUUGUCGGGUAAGUUCCGACCUGCACGAAUGGCGUAAUGAUGGCCAGGCUGUCUCCACCCGAGACUCAGUGAAAUUGAACUCGCUGUGAAGAUGCAGUGUACCCGCGGCAAGACGGAAAGACCCCGUGAACCUUUACUAUAGCUUGACACUGAACAUUGAGCCUUGAUGUGUAGGAUAGGUGGGAGGCUUUGAAGUGUGGACGCCAGUCUGCAUGGAGCCGACCUUGAAAUACCACCCUUUAAUGUUUGAUGUUCUAACGUUGACCCGUAAUCCGGGUUGCGGACAGUGUCUGGUGGGUAGUUUGACUGGGGCGGUCUCCUCCUAAAGAGUAACGGAGGAGCACGAAGGUUGGCUAAUCCUGGUCGGACAUCAGGAGGUUAGUGCAAUGGCAUAAGCCAGCUUGACUGCGAGCGUGACGGCGCGAGCAGGUGCGAAAGCAGGUCAUAGUGAUCCGGUGGUUCUGAAUGGAAGGGCCAUCGCUCAACGGAUAAAAGGUACUCCGGGGAUAACAGGCUGAUACCGCCCAAGAGUUCAUAUCGACGGCGGUGUUUGGCACCUCGAUGUCGGCUCAUCACAUCCUGGGGCUGAAGUAGGUCCCAAGGGUAUGGCUGUUCGCCAUUUAAAGUGGUACGCGAGCUGGGUUUAGAACGUCGUGAGACAGUUCGGUCCCUAUCUGCCGUGGGCGCUGGAGAACUGAGGGGGGCUGCUCCUAGUACGAGAGGACCGGAGUGGACGCAUCACUGGUGUUCGGGUUGUCAUGCCAAUGGCACUGCCCGGUAGCUAAAUGCGGAAGAGAUAAGUGCUGAAAGCAUCUAAGCACGAAACUUGCCCCGAGAUGAGUUCUCCCUGACUCCUUGA